AUUCCCCACGGAAGCACUUUUGUUCCACUGUGAUCCUCGUCCCAGGAGAGAUCUUCUGGAAUCCCCCUCCGUUGACAUACGCUGAUCGCUGCGCUUUCAACGCCGACCCAAGCCAGGUACGCCUUCUCUGUGGCAGCACCUUCGUUCCACUGCUAUCCUCAUCCCCAGGGAGGUGUUCUGGAUUCCCCCUCCAUCGGCAGACUCCGCCCGCUAUGCUUUUGUCGCCUAUCCAAGCCAGACCGAUGAGCUUUGGUGAACAGUCCUAGGAACGCGAUUCGAAGGACUCUCUAUGGAAGACUAAUAUGUUAGAAAAAAGGGCACUUUGGCACAAAAGGUACUCCUUCCCCAUGACAGCACCUUCGUUCCACUUCGAUCCUCGUCCACGGGGAGGUCUUCUGGAUUCCCCCUCCGUCGACAGACGCUGCCCGCUACGCUUUCUACGCCGAUCCAAGCCAAGUAGAAGAAAAACGGCGCACACACCACCCAUGGCUGCCGCUAGGGUUUGGUGAACGGUCCCAGGAACGCAAGUCGGAGGCCUCUCUAAGGAAGACAAAUAUGUUAGAAAAAAAGGCACUUUGGCACAAAAGGUACGCCUUUCCCGUGGCAGCACCUUCAUUCCGCUUAGAUCCUGGUCCCCAGGGAGGUCUUCUGGAUUUCCCCUCCAUCAGUAGACACCGCCCGCUAUGCUUUCGUCGCUGA
Molecule: long non-coding RNA, 699 nt
Organism: Pseudophryne corroboree (corroboree frog)
Lineage: Eukaryota; Metazoa; Chordata; Amphibia; Anura; Myobatrachidae
Exons: 6
Source: RefSeq, a predicted model, not a curated record